CGUCUCCUGUUCCCCUCAGGCUUGCGCGUCCCCGAGUGCUCCCCGGCGUCGUGUGCUGCGGCCGGGGUCCCGCCUGUGCCCGCGGGCCUCCAUCUUGGAGGCGACCUGGUUCCAUCUUGCUGUUGGUGGAAUGCAUGCUGGUUUGGGGGGAGGGGUAGCACUUUUUGCCUUCCACCUCUGUAAUUUUAUUUUCCGAGACGGGUCUUUAGCUCAUGCUAAAGUGGUAAUCCUCCAGCCUCAGCGUUCCACCUCGCUCAGCUCCAUCCUCCCCAUUAAUCUUGGGGCGUGCGUGCGUGCGUGUUGGAGAAUAGGGUCCUCCUGUGUAGGUCAAGUUGGUCUAAUAGGUUGUAGCUCAUGCUAACCUCGACCUCGUGGUAGCCCUUGCCCCCGCCCCCCACAUCUCCGCUUCAGCCUAGUGCUGUG
Molecule: long non-coding RNA, 423 nt
Filed under: Rattus norvegicus (Norway rat)
Lineage: Eukaryota; Metazoa; Chordata; Mammalia; Rodentia; Muridae
Description: long non-coding RNA NONRATT014846
Source: RNAcentral